GUGCCCAGCCGGCCGAUCACAGGAUGUGGACGUGAGUCAACCAAGCGAGAAGUUCCAUCUGGAAACUCGGGCAUGAGGUUUAAAUGUGGUCUGCUCUGCCUCAGGCUGGCUGUGACCUUGAGCUGGUGAUGUCCCUGCCUCAGUUUCCUCACCUUCUGAUGGAGAUGGGAGGGGAAGAAAGCAGCUGCCUCUGGGUGGUGGCAGAGAUGCCCAUGUCUAGGACCUCCAGGCCUUAACUAAUCAGGGGCACUGAUGAAGCCAGCGGGGCUCCACUGGGGACCACAGGCAAGACUGGGCCAGGACGAGGCGGUCACGCAGAGGAGCACGGGCCUCCCCGGGAGUGGGCUUCAGCCUCCCUAGACUCCUGUCUCCUUCCAAGGGCUAGGCCUGGGGGACCAGAAGCAAGAGUCCCUAGAGCGUCCAAGAUUUUUGGUUUCAAACCAAUUUCCUGCUGACCAGAAUGAAAUGGAGCCACAUUCCAGCACGAUGCACCUGCUGACCUCCUGCAAGUCAGGGACCUUCUCUGCCCCUCUUUUGCUCUGCUGCAGGAGGGAGAAGCUGGGAAUGUGUUCCUCUGGGGUCCCAUCACCUCCAGCCAGCCACUGUCCCUGUCUCCCCAAAACCUCCUCGUUGUCCCUCCUCUGUCCUCCUCCUCCUCCAUCUGCCUUCGCCCUGCUCUCCUCUUUUUCGCCUGAGGUUCGUGCUGCCUCCUCACCUCUUGUCCUGUUUCUCCCUUCUCUCUGCUCCCUCCUUUGAUCUUGCUAUUUUGCUUCUCUUUCCCUUCCUCUCUUCUCCUCCCUCCCCUUCCUCCCUGCUCCCUGCCUCAGCUUCUCAGUCUCUCUCCGUUCUUCCUCUAGCUUCCUUCCCUCCCCAGAAGACCCAGCCCUUCCUAGAGCCCCAGAAGCCAGGGUUCAUGCCCCAGCUCUCUACCCACACAUGCUGUGCAACCCUGGGCCAGUCACUGGUCUCUUGGGCCUCAGUUCAACAGAUGGCUGUCUUGGUGAUGUGAGAUCAUAGGGUGGAAGCACCCAGAAUGGUGCCAGGCACUCAAAAAUUUUUUUCUUUUCCUUUUUAAGGAACUACUAACCGUGAGGUUAUGGAUUACCAAACCGUUCCUGUUCUUGGAAUCUGGGUCCUACUAUUCCCAAGAAUUUGAAUUACCACGGGUCCCUGGGGAUGUAAGGGGAUGAGGCUUCUGAUGUACUUUGGGAGGGGGAGGAGUGGAAAGAGGAGUUGGGAGGACACUCUAGCAUUGCCCAGAGGGCAGAGGACAUUCUGCCUAUUUCCAGAGGUUAUUGACCCUGGAUCUCUUUUAUGGAGUUCCUCACCCAGGCCCCUUGAGCUUGGCCAUACUUGAGGCAAUGGGAUAUCUUCCUUCUCCUGGAGCCCCUUGAAUCUUAGGCCUCGGGAACACACAGUCUACUGUGUUUCUUGGCUGCACCCACGGAGGACAGCCCCCAUACUCCUUGCUUACAACCAGCAAAGACUCCACAGCCAUCCCUGCACACGACUCAGGCUCCUUGGCUUGGCACUCAAGGCUCUUUGCUUUCCUGUCCUGCUUUGCUUCCAGCUGCAAAGAUGGUGGCUUCCUGUUUUCCUCUUCGUUUCCUUUGCUUAAGUUGAUUCUCAGCCAGACAUGCUUUCCCCCUGCACGCUUCCCUAAGCCAUCCUAUCUGGGACCCUGACCCAAUCAAUGGUUCCCUAAUGCACCUUUGAGACCAAGUGUACCUGGCACCUCCUCUCUUGCCCCACUAUCUGCUCACAUGACCCUCUGCAGGCCUGUAAGCUGCUGGAGGCUCCGAGUAUGCCUCAUUCAUGUCUAUCCCCCUUACUAGGCCCAGACCAUGGAAGACACUCAAUAAAAAGUAAGUGAUUAAAUGACAACCUCUACGGAAAAGAGUAUGGAGAUUUCUCAAAGAACUAAAAACAGAACUACCUUUUGGCCAGAUGCAGUGGCUCACACCUAUAAUCCCAACAUUUGGGAAGGCUGAGGCAGGUGGAUUGCUUGAGCCCAGGAGUUCAAGAUCAGCCUGGGCAACAUGGUGAAACCCUAUCUCUACAAAAAAUACAGAAAAUUAGAUGAGACUACAGGUGGCACACAUCCAUAGUACCAGCUACUCCAGAGGCUGAGGCGGGAGGAUCGCUUGAGCCCAGGAGGUCCAGGCUACAGUGGGCCAAGAUCACGCCAUUGCACUCCAGCCUCAGUGAUAAAGUGGCAUUCUGUCUCAAAAGAAAAAGAACUGGCCAAGCAUGGUGGCUCACGUCUGUAAUCCCAGCACUUUGGGAGGCCGAGGCAGGUGGAUCACAUGAGAUCAGGAGUUUGAGACUAGCCUGGCCAACAAUGAUGAAACCCCAUCUCUACUAAAAAUACAAUAAUUAGCUGGGCGUGGUGGCGGGCGCCUGUAAUCCCAGCUACUCAGGAGGCUGAGGCAGGAGAAUCAUUUGAACCCGGGAGGCAAAGUGAGCCAAGAUUGUGCCACUGCACUCCAGCCUGGGCAACAAGAGCGAAACUCAGUCUCAAAAGAAAAAGAAAAAGAGAGAAAAGAAGAAAGGAAAAGAAAUAUCAUUUGAUCCAGCAAUCUCACUGAGUAUCUAACCAAAGGAAAAUAAAUCACUAUACCAAAAAGAUACUGCAUUUUUAUGUUUAUCACAGCACUAUUCAUAAUAGCAAAGACACAGAAUCAACCUAAGUGUCCAUCAACGGAUGAGUGAAUAAAUAAAAUGUUAUAUUU
This is a long non-coding RNA of Homo sapiens (human), 2732 nucleotides long. Ensembl annotates it as SLC39A13 antisense RNA 1. Its record names the gene SLC39A13-AS1. NCBI's taxonomy places the organism in Eukaryota, Metazoa, Chordata, Mammalia, Primates, Hominidae. The record is from Ensembl.